Molecule: ribosomal RNA, 497 nt
Filed under: uncultured bacterium
Lineage: Bacteria
Description: partial 16S ribosomal RNA
Rfam family: Bacterial small subunit ribosomal RNA
Source: RNAcentral
GACGAACGCUGGCGGCGUGCCUAAUACAUGCAAGUAGAACGCUGAAGAGAGGAGCUUGCUCUUCUUGGAUGAGUUGCGAACGGGUGAGUAACGCGUAGGUAACCUGCCUUGUAGCGGGGGAUAACUAUUGGAAACGAUAGCUAAUACCGCAUAACAAUUGAUGCCACAUGUCAUUUAUUUGAAAGGGGCAAUUGCUCCACUACAAGAUGGACCUCCGUUGUCUUAGCUAGUAGGUGAGGUAAUGGCCCUCCUAGGCGACGAUACAUUGCCGGACUUGGAGGGUGAUUGGCCACAAUGGGACUGUGACACGGCCCAGACGCCUUAGGGAGGCAGCAGGAGGGGAUCUUCGGCAAUGGGGGCAAACCUGACCGAGCAACGCCGCGUGAGUGAAGAAGGUUUUCGGAUCGGAAAGAUCCGGUGUAAGGCAAGAAAGGGUGUGAGAGUGGAAAGUUCACACUGUGACGGUAGCUUAGCAGAAAGGGACGGCUAACUACGUG